GGGGUCAUGGUAUAGUGGCAUUACGGCAGGCUCCAGACCUGCAAAUCGGAGUUCGAUUCUCCGUGACCCCA
RNAcentral lists this transfer RNA (71 nucleotides) under Microcaldota archaeon. RNAcentral's name for it is "tRNA-Trp". It matches the Rfam family "tRNA". Rfam says of the family: Transfer RNA (tRNA) molecules are approximately 80 nucleotides in length. Their secondary structure includes four short double-helical elements and three loops (D, anti-codon, and T loops). The record is from RNAcentral. Lineage: Archaea; Nanobdellati; Microcaldota. RNAcentral also lists the same sequence under 1 other name.